RNAcentral lists this long non-coding RNA (2038 nucleotides) under Arabidopsis thaliana (thale cress). RNAcentral describes it as "potential natural antisense gene, locus overlaps with AT2G46570 (AT2G46572)". Lineage: Eukaryota; Viridiplantae; Streptophyta; Magnoliopsida; Brassicales; Brassicaceae. The record is from RNAcentral.
GUCACCAUUUGUUAAUUUCAAUGAAGCUAGCACUUUGGUAGAUCUGCAGGAGGAUGAGGCAAACUCUCUUGCACCUUCUUGCCAUUUUUCACUAUAAACAUUGUGCUCAUUCCCCAUGUUUGAUGGAUGUCAAAAUGACAAUGCAAUAACCAGAGCCCUAUUCAUUAUGAAAGGAAGAUUUUAUCAGCAAAUGUCAUAUGUGUUGUGAUGUUUAGGAGUUUUGUGAAGAAGAAUACCUGGAUUGUUGGCAACAAACCGAAUUGCCGCCCAACCUCCUACUGGGACUCCAAUAGUGUUCAAGUAAGGAGGAUCCUCCAGGUUAAAUUUUGCUGUUUGUUGAUCAUAGUUUCCUGUGCCAUAGCCAAUGACAUAAAAGCUGUGUCCAUGAAGAUGAAUUGGAUGAUUUUCUGUUGUGAGUGUGCCAGUAUUCUGGAAGAUGAUUUGUAUCCUGCUCCCAUACUCGAAAACUAUUGCUCUGGUCCCAUUUGCAGCCUGCGUGUCAUUGGCUAUGUCAUUGGGUGCCCCAUUGACAAAGUCAUAGGCUUUUUCCGGCGUGGUUGGGAAAUCUAAAGUGAAGUAACCUUCCAGUUGCUUGUAAUAUGCUUCCAAAAUCGAGACUUUAGGUUCGAUGAAGCUUAUGUUGUUCAUUGAAGCUGCUAGUCUUCCUUUUCUGGGCCCUUGGCACUUGUUGUUUGGAUUUUCAGAGUUGCAUUUGUUUACAUUUAGCCCGAUUGUGAUAAAGAGAUGAGCGUCAAUGUUUCUUGGAACAUCAACUGCAUUUAGACUUCUGAGCCCAUCCAUGACAGUCUUAACAGCAAUAUUAUCAUUGAAAAUAGGUAACUUAGCUGGUACUGUUACAUUGUUAGGCAAUGCACCAAUGUAUUGGAAAUUAGCUAUUGCUGAUGUGUUUUGAAACUUGACGUUCUUUGCAGACUCGUACGGACCCAUGGCCAUGGAGUAUCUCCCAACGGUUUGAUCAGCUGUGACAAGAAUGUUCAUUGUCUGUCCAGGUACAAGCAUCACACGCUCUGUUGUAUAAGGCUUGGUGUAUUCGCCAUCUACUUCCACUAUGGUCAACCUGUGAUUAGCUAUGGUGAAGAAGGUCUCCAUGUUAAUACCAGCAUUUAUCAGUCUUAGCAGAUAUCGCCGGGCCAGGGAAUUUCUUGUUGACUGUUACAAUCUCGUUUGUUUGGCAUAGCCUGAAUCUAGUUGCAGCGCCAAUCCUGCCAAUAUUCAUUACUUGAAGAGUGAACAAGAGAAAGCUAAGCCGGAACAAGGACGGGACAGCUGAACUGGUCAUCUUGAAUGGAAAGAGACAAGGAGAUUUGAGGUUGAAAGAUACUGCUUAAUGCAACUGGUUUUUAUAGCGUCUGAAGGCGAAAAAUAGGAAAUAAAAUAAAUAGAGUUGAGGAAAAGUUUCAUGAUUUGGAGAGUUGGGAACAGAGACAUUAGUGAUUAUAAGGUGUUGGGAAAGCGUGACUUGUUUCUUGACCCCAGCGUGAGAUUGAAGGCAACACACGAGUUACUAUAAAAGGAGAAAGAUACUCUUAGUUAGUGUCUGCUCUUUGAUUUUGAAUCAGUAAAAGCUUUAUACAUUAUGAUGCAGGAUUCUCUACCAAACCGCUGACUGAUCUGGACCAACCCGGUGACCUAAUGACUAUUUCUUUUGACAGGUCGUUAAUCAUCAACUUUAGGAUCAGCCGGGAUUAGUGAGGUGCAUGAUUUAGCAUGAUUAGAGAGUGUUUAGUAGGGUCGUGUUGGGGUUUUUUAGAGUGUUGAAAGAGAAAGAAGAAGAAAGAGUAAGAAGGGAUCAAGCUUCUUGGUCGGAAGUUUGGAUGGUCUUAAUUCUUUAUUGGUCGUGUCAUCAUCAAAAGUUCGUGCACGCCUUCAUUUGCCAAAGAGAACUCUUAUUUAUUUAUUUUUUUUUUUUCUUCUAAAUUUUGUUUAAUUUCUGAAUUUUUUUUUCCUUAUAUUGUAAGACCACUGAUACUGAUAUUUACGUAAAUUUCUUAUUUGAUUUUUAAUUACGUAAAUUUCU